This 279-nucleotide ribosomal RNA is filed under the name uncultured bacterium. RNAcentral describes it as "partial 16S ribosomal RNA". It matches the Rfam family "Bacterial small subunit ribosomal RNA", at positions 506 to 784 of the family's 1533-position model. The record is from RNAcentral.
UGCCAGCAGCCGCGGUAAUACGAAGGUGGCGAGCGUUGUUCGGAAUCACUGGGCAUAAAGCGCGUGUAGGCGGCCUGAUCAGUCGGGUGUGAAAGCCCUCAGCUUAACUGGGGAACUGCAUUCGAUACUGUCAGGCUUGAGUCCUGGAGGGGAGAGCGGAAUUCUUGGUGGAGCGGUGAUAUGCGUAGAUAUCAAGAGGAACGCCAGAGGCGAAAGCGGCUCUCUGGACAGGUACUGACGCUGAGACGCGAAAGCUAGGGGAGCAAACGGGAUUAGAUA